This 492-nucleotide ribosomal RNA is filed under the name uncultured bacterium. RNAcentral describes it as "partial 16S ribosomal RNA". It matches the Rfam family "Bacterial small subunit ribosomal RNA", at positions 29 to 507 of the family's 1533-position model. The record is from RNAcentral.
AGUGAACGCUGGCGGUAGGCCUAACACAUGCAAGUCGAACGGCAGCACAGUAAGAGCUUGCUCUUACGGGUGGCGAGUGGCGGACGGGUGAGGAAUACAUCGGAAUCUACUUUUUCGUGGGGGAUAACGUAGGGAAACUUACGCUAAUACCGCAUACGACCUACGGGUGAAAGCAGGGGAUCUUCGGACCUUGCGCGAUUGAAUGAGCCGAUGUCGGAUUAGCCAGUUGGCGGGGUAAAGGCCCACCAAGGCGACGAUCCGUAGCUGGUCUGAGAGGAUGAUCAGCCACACUGGAACUGUGACACGGUCCAGACUCCUACGGGAGGCAGCAGUGGGGAAUAUUGGACAAUGGGCGCAAGCCUGAUCCAGCCAUACCGCGUGGGUGAAGAAGGCCUUCGGGUUGUAAAGCCCUUUUGUUGGGAAAGAAAAGCAGCAGGUUAAUACCCCGCUGUUCUGACGGUACCCAAAGAAUAAGCACCGGCUAACUUCGUG